This 498-nucleotide ribosomal RNA is filed under the name uncultured bacterium. RNAcentral describes it as "partial 16S ribosomal RNA". It matches the Rfam family "Bacterial small subunit ribosomal RNA", at positions 30 to 523 of the family's 1533-position model. The record is from RNAcentral.
AUUGAACGCUGGCGGCAUGCCUUACACAUGCAAGUCGAACGGUAACAGGUCUUCGGAUGCUGACGAGUGGCGAACGGGUGAGUAAUACAUCGGAACGUGCCUAGUAGUGGGGGAUAACUACUCGAAAGAGUGGCUAAUACCGCAUGAGAUCUACGGAUGAAAGCAGGGGAUCGCAAGACCUUGUGCUACUAGAGCGGCCGAUGGCAGAUUAGGUAGUUGGUGGGAUAAAAGCUCACCAAGCCGACGAUCUGUAGCUGGUCUGAGAGGACGAUCAGCCACACUGGGACUGAGACACGGCCCAGACUCCUACGGGAGGCAGCAGUGGGGAAUUUUGGACAAUGGGCGCAAGCCUGAUCCAGCAAUGCCGCGUGCAGGAUGAGGGCCUUCGGGUUGUAAACUGCUUUUGUACGGAACGAAAAGCCCCGGGUUAAUACCCUGGGGUCAUGACGGUACCGUAAGAAUAAGCACCGGCUAACUACGUGCCAGCAGCCGCCGUAA